AACACGUAAAGAACCUGCCCUCAGGUCUGGGAUAACCACGAGAAAUCGGGGCUAAUACCGGAUGGGUCAUCGGACCGCAUGGUCCGAGGAUGAAAGACGCUUCGGCGUCGCCUGGGGAUGGCUUUGCGGUGCAUUAGCUAGUUGGUGGGGUAAUGGCCCACCAAGGCGACGAUGCAUAGCCGACCUGAGAGGGUGAUCGGCCACACUGGGACUGAGACACGGCCCAGACUCCUACGGGAGGCAGCAGUAGGGAAUCUUCCACAAUGGACGAAAGUCUGAUGGAGCAACGCCGCGUGAACGAUGAAGGCCUUCGGGUCGUAAAGUUCUGUUGUAAGGGAAGAACAAGUGCCGCAGGCGAUGGCGGCACCUUGACGGUACCUUGCGAGAAAGCCACGGCUAACUACGUGCCAGCAGCCGCGGUAAUACGUAGGUGGCAAGCGUUGUCCGGAAUUAUUGGGCGUAAAGCGCGCGCAGGCGGCCUCUUAAGUCUGAUGUGAAAGCCCCCGGCUCAACCGGGGAGGGCCAUUGGAAACUGGGAGGCUUGAGUAUAGGAGAGAAGAGUGGAAUUCCACGUGUAGCGGUGAAAUGCGUAGAGAUGUGGAGG
RNAcentral lists this ribosomal RNA (604 nucleotides) under uncultured bacterium. Its description in RNAcentral is "bacterial SSU rRNA". It matches the Rfam family "Bacterial small subunit ribosomal RNA", at positions 112 to 704 of the family's 1533-position model. The record is from RNAcentral.